This 303-nucleotide ribosomal RNA is filed under the name uncultured Glomus. Its description in RNAcentral is "bacterial SSU rRNA". It matches the Rfam family "Eukaryotic small subunit ribosomal RNA", at positions 792 to 1092 of the family's 1831-position model. Lineage: Eukaryota; Fungi; Glomeromycota; Glomeromycetes; Glomerales; Glomeraceae. The record is from RNAcentral.
CGCUUGAAUACAUUAGCAUGGAAUAACGAAAUAGGACGUUUGAUUCUAUUUUGUUGGUUUCUAGGAUCGACGUAAUGAUUAAUAGGGAUAGUUGGGGGCAUUAGUAUUCAAUUGUCAGAGGUGAAAUUCUUGGAUUUAUUUGAAGACUAACUACUGCGAAAGCAUUUGCCAAGGAUGUUUUCAUUAAUCAAGAACGAAAGUUGGGGGCUCGAAGACGAUCAGAUACCGUCCUAGUCUCAACCAUAAACGAUGCCGACCAGGGAUCAGCGGAUGUUGCUUAUAGGACUCCGCUGGCACCUUAUG